ACCUUCCCUCCGCUGGUUUUACCGUCUUGACAGAACCAUUCCCUCGCUAGCCCUACCUCAUCUCCCGUCUCCAGUCGCAGCCGCCGCCGCACCCCAAUCCAACCCCGCCGCCGGCGAUCUCCUCUCCCAAGGGAAUCCCAAGGGAAGGGAAGGGAAGGGAAGGAAAGGGAGAGGGAGCGCCCAGAUCCAACCCCGCCGAUCCCUUUGCCGCCGAACCCCUUGCCAUCGCGCUCGCAACAAGGAUCGAUGCCUCCAGACUACCCUCGAUCCGUGCGCUAUCUCCGUUGGCCGCCAACGCCUCCGAUCCCCUUCAGGACGCCCCUACGCCGCCGCCGAGAUCCGAGAGGAGUCUCCCUUCGCCGACGCGGAGAUCCCGUGCCUCUCUACAGAUCACUCUCUCUCCUCUCGAAAGCUGUCGCCUCUCUGUCGCUGUUGGUGCUCGAUGAAAGACGAGGGAGGCUCCUAUCGGCGAUUCCCUGUGGUCCUCGAUGGCUCCUCCCGGCGAUUCUCGAUGGUCCUCGGCGGCUCCUCCCGGCGAUACCCCAUGGUCCUCGACGGCGACGCCGGCUAGGCCAGUCCUCUCUCUCUCUCUCUCGCUCACCCAAUUUCCCCUGGCCGGCGAGCUAGGAUUAGGGUUAGCAGCUCGACGCCGCCACCCUGUCAUGUUGCAGGUGCUGCUAUUACCCGCUGUCGGGCCCGUGUGCUCGUGCGCUGUAGUCGCCAUGUCAUGUUGCCGCUGCUGUUUCUUGCUGAUGCAUGCCGCUUCUGCUCGUGGCCGACCCGUACUGAUGUUAUUAUUGUUCGUGGUUGGCCUCCCUGUGUGUUCAUGCUGCUGUUAUUUACCCUGCUCCUGUGUCGUGCUCGUGCAGCUGCAGCGAAAAGAUAAUGGGGCGAUGGGUGCCGGUGGCGGGCACUGGUGGUGGCGGAAGGCGCUGUGGAGGCGCUCGCUGCUACCCGGCACCACUUGGACACCACCGGGUUCAGCCUUGCGUGGACCUGGGUGGCAUCGCCUUUGCAGUUGUUCCUCGCCGUUGAGCAGUUGUGCGUUAUUUAUUUCCUGCUGCAAACAUACACAUGCCUGACUAUUACCUGAAAUGUGACACUUAUUUGUUGAUGAAAUACUUAUGUCAUGAUUUGGGAUUGCUUGUUCAGAAGCUUCCAUGAUAUCAGGUCCUUCACAAUUCAUGUUACAAUAGUAUAUUCCUCAAUAAGUUAGAUAUUGUGGUUUGCCAUUUUAGAUGAAUGAAUCAUCAGACUUUCAAUUGGUUUGUUAGUUAUAGCUGGCUGAUGAUUACUGCAACGCAGAGUUUGCGAUGGAACAAUAGACCUCUCGGCCGACAUCCUCUACAGAUCCUACACUGCCAUGGAGGAGGUGUUUCUGAAUCACGUGAGGAAGCAAUGGCUCGUCAAACCGCAGAUCUCCUCGGUUGGGUCAUGUUGUUUGGUUGGCAUUAUCAAUGAAGGGGUCCUCUACAUAGCAAACACUGGUGAUUCAUGUGUUGUCCCCGGGAGGGUCGAAAGAGGCGCCAAAGACAUUAAGGCAGUUCAGCUGUCAUCUGAGCAUAACGCGAGCUUUCUGGCUGUAAGGGAUGAGCUAAGACAGGUACACCCAAAUGACCCCCGGAUCAUGGCCCUGAAACACAAAGUUUGAUGCAUGAAGGGCAUUAUUCAGGUUUCCAGAAUGAUUGGCCACACCUACCUAAAAAGUUCGGAAUUUAAUCAUGAGCCCCUUCUGGCCUGGUUCCAUAUUCGGAGGCCCUUCCAUAAUCCAAUUCUUUGUCCCGAACCAUCCAUUGAAGAACAUAGACUGUGCAAAAUAUCAGUUUGUUAUAUUUGCAUCAGAUGGACUAUGUGAGCACUUAAACAAUCAGGAAGCUGUGGAUAUAGUUCAUUGUUCACCUCAGAAUGUUGAUUUGCAAGGGCUGUGUGGAGCGAACCAUGUUCCUCUAAACCAAGGGGUCCUUAUGGCCCUUCUCCUGCAACUGGCACGCAACAUAGCCGAUGAGAUAUCCCUGAAGCUUCAAGGGAUACAAAGGAUGUUAUUACUCAACCCACAUGAUUGGGAGUUAUAGAGGGACUUUAUGUCGCACAUUCCUGAUGUACUACAGGCUUACUGGGCUAAGAAUGAACAAUGCUAUAUCGAGCAAAUCUUCAUGGAUAUAUUAUGUUGUCCUAUCCUUUAGCUAGAGCUUGUUCUCUCUGCUUGCUCCAGAAUUGUUACAUAUAACUUCAAUAUGCAUGAACUAAUUUAUAUCUUACAGAGAUUUCAACUCCAUAUCAUUCAUGCAAGCUAAGCAGGUGUAUCUUGGUCUUAUGGAGUUUCCACCCACCAUCAUUAGCUGAGAUACAUUCUGCUAUGCAGCACAAUUUUGGGUAUAAGCUAAAUAACCUUAAUUUGAUGCAUGUAACUGGAAGAUGUGCCACAGGCAUGCUCAUAAUCGAUUAAUGGUAUAAUUAAUCUUUCUUGAUCUCAUCAGUUUCGUUUAGGUAGUAAGCAACCUACACCUCUGUAGCCUGAAGUUCAGAAGUUGGCAUGGUUUUAGUUGAGAAUAAUGUAGCAUUAUAUUAUUAGCUUAGACUUUGAGCAACCUGGAAGCAAGAUGUGAAUAGCAGAUCAAUAGCAUACACCUUUGUGGUUAUUGCCCUAUCUCAUGACAGAGAGAGAAGUAAAUAAAUCAAAGUUGUGAACAACGGAUGAGGUUUAAUUAAUUAUGUCCACGCCGUGCUUAUUAGCUUAUCUCAUAGUGACAAACUGAAUAUAACAAGUACCUACGAAUUAGAGAGCAAAAACAUUAGAAGUGCGUAAAAUGUUAUUCACUAUUUAUGUUCAUAUAGACCACGACAUAAAUUUUAGAUAUUGGUUUACUUAAUUAUGUACUAACUCGCAAAAUUUGCAGUACAUGGAGUAAAAUGCAGAAACAAUGAAAAAAUAAAAUAUUAACAGAGGUUGCGGUUGGAGAACCUCAGAAUCAUGCUCUUCUCUGAAAUCCAGUUAGCUGGGGUAAUCCCCCUCUAGAAACAUUGAUGGAAACUCAAUAUUAACCAAGGAACUUACAUUCCAUAGGCUCUCUCUGUCCCCUCAAGUAAGCAGGUCAUACAUUAGGAUGCUCAAGUUACAGUGACUUGAUGUAGGUAAGCAACUUUCACACAUUUUCUCUUCCAACCAUCCGAACCAUGCGGAGCUCCUGAUGUUAGGCCCGGGCAUGGGUUUCCGGGAGAACCUUCUCGUGCCUCAUGCGAAAGACUUCCCUGCAUUCGCGUGCCGCCACCAGAGCAGCAAGGCGCACAAAGGAUGGGUGGCAUCGGGCUUGCGCCGUGUACAUGGUGUGCAGGAGAGGAGGCAUGGUUCAAGUGCUUUUAUUGGAGGGAGUUGGUAUUAUCCAGAUCAUAGUUUUCCUGGAUUGUCUGAGACCAGUGCCUCAAAGCAACGUCGCAGCUAACAAGGUUAUUUGUAUACUAUUCUGCUACCAGUGUUAGGUCAUUCACAGUCACGCACCCCAGCCACAUGACCUAUGUUGUCUCUUUGUUGCGCGGCCGAGGCCCUUCAAUGCAGGGAGGAGGCGGCGUUCCUUAGCAACGCUGCAUCUUAUUACCUCGUCAUUCAUUUCUUAAUUUUUUUUCAUCAAGUUUGGAUUGCUUGAUGAAAAAAAGAAAAGAAAUGAACUUGAUGAAAAAAAUUAAGAAAUGAAUGACGAGGUAAGUAUGGUACAAGUGCCUUUUGUUUUUCCACGGUGGAGUAAAGGGGCUUCAAGGAUUGGAGUUACAAAGUCUACAUGUGAAACCAUAGAAAUAAUUUCUUAUUGAUAUCUCUUCUUUGUUCAUGUGUUCAUUUACUCAUAGUUUUCUUUUCAGUUUCUUGUAUUAGUUUGUUGUAACAAGGUCGGAGAUGAUGGAGAGAAAUGGUCCUGUAGGCGAAAGUUGUGCUUGUCGGUUAUGUGUUGUCCAGACCUUGUGCCGGCAGUGAGAACUGCAGUGAUGUGCCUCCACAUCUGUCAUCCAUCUAUCAAUUUCUUGGUAGUCAGUAAUAUUGCGACACUAUCUUUUUUGCAGCCUUGUGAUUUCUGUGAUGUGAUGUGCUGCUACUUCACCACUUUGCAAAGGAAUGAAUUAUAUCACUGAUAUUUAUUUGUUACCA
Molecule: long non-coding RNA, 4135 nt
Organism: Triticum aestivum (bread wheat)
Lineage: Eukaryota; Viridiplantae; Streptophyta; Magnoliopsida; Poales; Poaceae
Exons: 5
Source: RefSeq, a predicted model, not a curated record